UACGUAGGUGGCAAGCGUCGUCCGGAUUUACUGGGCGUAAAGAGCGCGCAGGCGGUCGUUCAAGUCGCGUGUGAAAGCCCCCGGCUCAACUGGGGAGAGUCACGCGAUACUGAUCGACUCGAAGGCAGGAGAGGGUAGUGGAAUUCCCGGUGUAGUGGUGAAAUGCGUAGAUAUCGGGAGGAACACCAGUGGCGAAGGCGACUACCUGGCCUGUUCUUGACGCUGAGGCGCGAAAGCUAGGGGAGCAAACAGG
Molecule: ribosomal RNA, 253 nt
Filed under: uncultured bacterium
Lineage: Bacteria
Description: partial 16S ribosomal RNA
Rfam family: Bacterial small subunit ribosomal RNA
Source: RNAcentral